UAGGCAGAAGCCAAUUGGUGUUGGCAUUUAGCUGUUAACUAAAAUUGUAUGGGAUCGAAGCCCAUCUGUCUAG
This is a non-coding RNA of Gallus gallus (chicken), 73 nucleotides long. Lineage: Eukaryota; Metazoa; Chordata; Aves; Galliformes; Phasianidae. The record is from Ensembl.